UUUGCCAAAAACUUGUGCUCUUCUUUAAUGGAGUGUAAUAUCAGCGCCUUUUAUAAGUUUUUAUCUUCAUGUCAUGAACUGUUCACAUAAUUUGUAAAUCAUAUGCUUG
Molecule: long non-coding RNA, 109 nt
Organism: Haliotis rubra (blacklip abalone)
Lineage: Eukaryota; Metazoa; Mollusca; Gastropoda; Lepetellida; Haliotidae
Exons: 3
Source: RefSeq, a predicted model, not a curated record